This 460-nucleotide ribosomal RNA is filed under the name uncultured Bacteroidota bacterium. RNAcentral's name for it is "bacterial SSU rRNA". It matches the Rfam family "Bacterial small subunit ribosomal RNA", at positions 338 to 795 of the family's 1533-position model. The record is from RNAcentral. Lineage: Bacteria; Pseudomonadati; Bacteroidota.
CCUACGGGCGGCUGCAGUGAGGAAUAUUGCGCAAUGGAGGCAACUCUGACGCAGCCAUGCCGCGUGCAGGAAGAAGGCGCUACGCGUUGUAAACUGCUUUUAACCGGGAAGAAACCCCUCUACGUGUGGAGGGUUGACGGUACCGGAGGAAUAAGCACCGGCUAACUUCGUGCCAGCAGCCGCGGUAAUACGAAGGGUGCAAGCGUUAUCCGGAUUCAUUGGGUUUAAAGGGUGCGUAGGCGGGGUGGUAAGUCAGUGGUGAAAUCCUGCAGCUUAACUGUAGAAUUGCCAUUGAUACUGCCAUUCUUGAGUACGCUGGAUGUGGGCGGAAUGUGCCGUGUAGCGGUGAAAUGCUUAGAUAUGGCACAGAACACCGAUAGCGAAGGCAGCUCACAACGGCGAAACUGACGCUGAGGCACGAAAGCGUGGGGAUCGAACAGGAUUAGAUACCCCAGUAGUC